AUAUGAAGUGACUGGUUGCAGCGAGUACAUGGAGCAGGCUGAUAAAGCCGCCCACCCAGAGCUGAGCAGCUUCCUCUCGUCUGCUAGAGGUGCCUAGCAGCUCCACUCAGUCACAGCCUGCUGCAGGCCUGCAGACGAGAGCAGAUGAUAGCCCUGGAGGCCAGCCCUAUCCUGACCAGCUCUCAUCAGUGCUUUCUGGGCAGUGUUCAUGUAUUGCCUGAUCAUGUAUUGCCUGACCCAUCUCUGCAGGAAGGUACUCUGAUGAUCCACACUACUGCUUUUAUUUAAUUUAAUUCAUUUAAUUAGCCACAUCUGAGCAUUAGUAACAUUUCACUAGACAAACAGUGAAGCUCAAACCAUUAAAGAACAAUAGAGAGGCAUUUUCCUUCUCACAUAAAUGUGUGAAGUUGUGCUAGAUUGGAAGGAACACAUCUGACACACUAUUAAACUUUAACAACUGUAAAUGAAGAAUCAGAAAUGACUGCUGAAAUCAUUUUAAGCCUUUGUCUCUAAUUGAAAUUGCUGUAAUAGUGUGACAGCUGUGCCUGGUUUUAGUGUUCUGUCCUUGGUUGAGAAAAAAAGAGUUCAAUAUUUCAGAACACCACAGUGUUUGCUGAACCACAAGGAUGCAAAAUUAAACAUUUAUAAGAACAAUAUGUUUGCAUCAGAUUGCCCACACAGCUCAAUCAAUAGGAUAACGCACACUGAAUUAUUCAGAGUUGUUUUAUUUAUUUACAGUAUUAUUAACUUUUGGGGACCACAGAGUGAAACAGGCACUGGGUAGUUUUCUGUUUGGUUUUAUUUAUUGAGGAUUUUGUGAUCUUAAGUUAAAAACUGCUCAUGUGUGGCCUAGUCUUCCCUCUCAUAACCACACAACUUGUAUAUUAGGAUUUACUUGAUUUAAAUAUGUACAUAAUUUCCACAUGAAUAAAACAUCAUUGUUGUCCAAUAAAAAAACAAAUAUCUCUGUUUUUCAUUAUUUGAGCAAAAAUCUCCACACAUGAAGAACAUUUGGUAACACUUUAUUUGAAGGCUAUCUACAUAAGGGCUUCAUGACGCAUUCAUAAGCACUGAAUAAUGUGUUUAUGAAGCACUAGUUGAACAUUUAUUAAGUGCUUAUGUUGGUUCUCGCAACCUGACAUAAGAUGUUUUAUGAAAUAAAUGACAUUAUACUGACAUAAUAUGAAUAAACCUUGAACAUAUUUACAGCACUAAACAUUUAAAACACUAUACAUAACUUUAUGUCAGCAUUCUUAAGAUGACAUUGUACUGAUAUGCCUGGAAACCACCCCCUCUUCCCUCCAUGGCAUAGAUAAGAUGAUUGAUGCAAUUGCGUAUAGUGUUUUAAAUGUUUAGUGCUGUAAAUAUGUUCAAGGUUUAUUCAUAUUAUGUCAGUACAAUGUCAUUUAUUUCAUAAAACAUCUUGUCAGGUUGCGAGAACCGACAUAAGCACUUAAUAAAUGUUCAAGUAGUGCUUCAUAAACACAUUAUUCAGUGCUUAUGAGUGUGUUAUGAAGCCCUUAUGUAGGUAGCCUUCAAAUAAAGUGUUACCCAUUUAGCCUUCUCCUGUAAAGUUUUUUUAUCCCCAUUAUGGAGAUGUUUUUUUUUUGCACAAG
Long non-coding RNA from Pygocentrus nattereri (red-bellied piranha), 1616 nucleotides. Lineage: Eukaryota; Metazoa; Chordata; Actinopteri; Characiformes; Serrasalmidae. The record is from Ensembl.